AGAGUUUGAUCCUGGCUCAGGACGAACGCUAGCGGUGUGCUUAAUACAUGCAAGUCGAACGGGGUCACUUCGGUGGCCUAGUGGCGGACGGGUGAGUAAUACGUAGGAAAUCUGCCCAUCAGUGGGGGAUAACGACGGGAAACCGUCGCUAAUACCCUAUAUAUCAAAGGUUGAAAUAUCUUUGAUGAAAGCUCCGGCACUGAUGGAUGAGCCUGCGGCUGAUUAGCUUGUUGGUAGGGUAAUGGCCUACCAAGGCUACGAUCAGUAGCUGGUCUGAGAGGAUGAUCAGCCACAAUGGGACUGAGACACGGCCCAUACUCCUACGGGAGGCAGCAGUAGGGAAUUUUGCGCAAUGGGCGAAAGCCUGACGCAGCAACACCGCGUGCACGAUGAAGCCCUUUUUGGGUGUAAAGUGCUGUCAGAGGGGACGAAUUUUGACUGUACCCUCAGAGGAAGCAUCGGCUAACUCCGUGCCAGCCACCGCGGU
RNAcentral lists this ribosomal RNA (487 nucleotides) under uncultured bacterium. RNAcentral describes it as "bacterial SSU rRNA". It matches the Rfam family "Bacterial small subunit ribosomal RNA", at positions 8 to 521 of the family's 1533-position model. The record is from RNAcentral.